AAAACCUUUAAUUGGGUCCAGAGAGGCCAAAAGGGUGCACGGAAUAGAAGUAUGCUUUCUUAUGCCCUUUUGUCUCUGAGACAAAAGGGCAUUUUUAAU
Non-coding RNA from Bacilli bacterium VT-13-104, 99 nucleotides. NCBI's taxonomy places the organism in Bacteria, Bacillati, Bacillota, Bacilli. The record is from Rfam.